Molecule: long non-coding RNA, 1663 nt
Filed under: Vitis vinifera (wine grape)
Lineage: Eukaryota; Viridiplantae; Streptophyta; Magnoliopsida; Vitales; Vitaceae
Description: long non-coding RNA (VVIN_LNC004195)
Source: RNAcentral
GAAAGGGUCCAAGUCAGGCGCAUCAAUGAAGUGUUCUGGCUGUCAAGGAUCUGGGAUGAAAGUUUCUAUUAGACACCUUGGCCCCUCUAUGAUCCAGCAAAUGCAACAUCCUUGCAAUGAGUGUAAAGGUACAGGUGAGACCAUUAAUGACAAGGAUCGAUGCCCACAGUGUAAGGGUGAGAAGGUUGUACAAGAGAAGAAAGUGUUGGAAGUCAUUGUAGAGAAGGGGAUGCAAAAUGGACAGAGGAUAACAUUCCCUGGAGAAGCUGAUGAAGCGGUGAGUCAAAGUGUCUAAUUCUAUAUUUGUUAUCAAUCUGUUUCUUCAUUGAUAAACAAAGCAUCUUGCAUACUUUUUGGUGUCUAUAAACAUAUUCCUCAUGUGUUGUUAUUGAUUUGUGAGUAUGCUUUGAGCUCCUUGCAGCCUGACACAGUCACAGGCGACAUAGUUUUCGUCCUACAACAGAAAGAGCAUCCUAAGUUCAAGCGUAAGGGUGAUGACUUGUUUGUUGAGCACACCUUAUCCCUGACCGAGGCACUCUGUGGAUUUCAAUUUAUACUGACUCAUUUGGAUGGUAGACAGCUUCUCAUUAAAUCCCAUCCAGGAGAAGUGGUCAAGCCUGGUAAGUUUCAGUGGUAUUUAAGCUUUCUGCAUGACAUGGAAAUUCUCUUCUGAAGUUUAGAUAUGCCAUCUAUUCAUAAAUGUGGUUUUGGUUGCAUUUUUUAUUUAUGAGUUUUCCAUUUUGGAGGACUAUUGCAAUGCUGUCUGCGAUACUGUAAGAGAAUAAAAAUAUUCUCCUGAAAUUUCAGCUCUGGGCUUUGACUUUCUGUUUUCUUGGUUGUGACCCUUGUCUAUGUUUCCAUACAGACCAAUUCAAGGCUAUAAAUGAUGAAGGAAUGCCCAUUUACCAGAAGCCAUUCAUGAAGGGGAAAUUGUACAUUCACUUUGCAGUGGAUUUCCCUGACUCCCUGAACACGGAUCAGUGCAAAGCUCUUGAAGCAGUGCUGCCUCCGAGGACUUCAACACAGUUGACUGAUAUGGAGAUUGAUGAGUGUGAGGAGACUACCUUGCAUGAUGUCAACAUUGAGGAGGAGAUGCGGAGGAAGCAGGCCGCCCAGGAGGCAUAUGAAGAGGAUGAGGAUAUUCAUGGUGGUGCUCAGAGGGUGCAGUGUGCCCAGCAAUAAAUGGUGAACAAAGCUGGCGGUUGAAGGGGGAGGGGGGAUGUCUAAGGGUGCAAUGGGCUUCACUAUUAAUGCUGGGUAAACCUGAAUUGGGGAAGAGAAUUUUGUUGACUAGCAACAAGACAAUAGACAAUGGCUUUCAAUUGUAGGUGUUGAAGUCUGGAUUUGGAUGCAUUUGUUUUGUGUGAGCGCGAAUACACUAUUUUUAAGCCUUUUAAAGCAAUUUGAGAAACCUAUUAUUAUGUUGAUUUUGUUGUUUAUUCGUUUAGGUUUUUUACACAUCCAAAUCUCACUAGUCUAAUAUGGUUGUUUUGGCCAUUGAAUGCAUAGCCAUGUCCAUGAGCGUGUGAGAAGCCACGUGUAAAUAAUUCGAAACAUGUGUGCGUUCUAUGUUGUGUUCAAGUUUCUUAUUUAUCAUUGGGUUAUUUAAUUAAUUAAUUAAAAGGGUUAUUGAAAAUUUAAUUAUGAAAUUUAUAUUUUUUUA